Molecule: ribosomal RNA, 118 nt
Organism: Sinocyclocheilus grahami
Lineage: Eukaryota; Metazoa; Chordata; Actinopteri; Cypriniformes; Cyprinidae
Source: Ensembl
UGCCACAGCCAUAUCACCCUGCACACCAAGACUGCUUGCCCACUGAAGCUAAGCAGGGUUGAGCCUGGUCAGUACCUGGAUGGGAGACCUCCUGGGAAAACUAGGUUAUUGCUGGAAA